UUAAGUUCAGCGGGUAUCCCUACCUGAUCCGAGGUCAACCGUGAGUAGUUGAGGUUAUGGCAAGUAUCCACAGGACCCUGUAGCGAGGAAAAUUACUACGCUUAGAGCCAGAUGGCACCGCCACUAGUUUUAGGGGCCGCUAGAUCAGCGAACCCCAACACCAAGCCAGGCUUGAUUGGUCAUAAUGACGCUCGAACAGG
Molecule: unclassified non-coding RNA, 200 nt
Filed under: Hyaloscyphaceae sp.
Lineage: Eukaryota; Fungi; Ascomycota; Leotiomycetes; Helotiales; Hyaloscyphaceae
Description: partial internal transcribed spacer 2
Source: RNAcentral